This 852-nucleotide long non-coding RNA is filed under the name Equus caballus (horse). Its description in RNAcentral is "lncRNA (ENSECAG00000047298.1)". The record is from RNAcentral. Lineage: Eukaryota; Metazoa; Chordata; Mammalia; Perissodactyla; Equidae.
UGUAGGGACCCGAAAUUGGCCACCCCAGGAUAUGUCUCUUUGGCAUCAGGAUUGUUUUGGGCUGAUUGCUUUCGAUAAACUGGGACAGGGAAGGAGGCUCUGGGGAAUGGAACUUGCCCUUGUUGGGACACAUUUACAUUUGUAAGGGAAACCUCUAUCUGUGAAGAUGCCUCCCUCUCUGUGCCAGGAAGAGGGGGGGAUGGUCUUAUCUCUAGAGGCUCUUGGUCAAUGCCAGAGGCAAGAACUUAAGUUGGUUGCUGUCUGGCAAUCUCAUGUAACUGGUUUAGGGAGGUGGUGUCUAACCUUUCUAACCUUUACUUAAUCCGAUUUGAUUCUUGUCUAAAAGUCAUGGGAUCACCCAAUGACCAGACCCCACCCGCACUGAUACCAUUUUAACUUUUUUUCAUGUUCUUUCCUUUGUCUUGUAAAGAGAUGAAUCAUAUACCUAUGCCUUAUAAAAUUAGCCCUAACCCUCAACUCGGGGCAGCAGCAGGAGCUCUGACUGCCCGUGGGUCCUGUCCCCUCGCACCAGCUCUGCCUGCCCAUGGGCUCUGUCCCCAUGCCAGCGGGGGCAGCAGAAGCGGCGGCAGCAGAAGCUCUGACUGCCCAUGGGUCCUGUCCCCAUGCUAUUCCACACUAUUUUCUAAAUAAAAGAGCACUACUACAAAAAAAAAAAAAAAGCACACAUUAAUCUCGUGUGGAUUUUCCAAGCUAGUAGGAUUUAGUAAGAGAAUUGUUAAAUGUAACCCAAAAUCCUGGGAAAGAAUAUGAUUUUUGCAUUUUAGACUUUAUUAAAAUGAAUGAGGUUUCCAGUUCUCAUUUCAACAUCUUACUAUGCUAAGUUUUGUGGCU